RNAcentral lists this ribosomal RNA (505 nucleotides) under uncultured bacterium. Its description in RNAcentral is "partial 16S ribosomal RNA". It matches the Rfam family "Bacterial small subunit ribosomal RNA", at positions 28 to 507 of the family's 1533-position model. The record is from RNAcentral.
GACGAACGCUGGCGGCGUGCCUAAUACAUGCAAGUAGAACGCACAGUUUAUACCGUAGCUUGCUACACCAUAGACUGUGAGUUGCGAACGGGUGAGUAACGCGUAGGUAACCUGCCUGGUAGCGGGGGAUAACUAUUGGAAACGAUAGCUAAUACCGCAUAAUAUUAAUUAUUGCAUGAUAAUUAAUUGAAAGGUGCAAUUGCACCACUACCAGAUGGCCCUGCGUUGUAUUAGCUAGUAGGUGAGGUAACGGCUCACCUAGGCGACGGUACAUAGCCGACCUGAGAGGGUGAUCGGCCACACUGGGACUGGGACACGGCCCAGACUCCUACGGGAGGCAGCAGUAGGGAAUCUUCGGCAAUGGACCAAAGUCUGGCCGAGCAACGCCGCGGGGGGGAAUGAGGGUUUCGGAUCGGAAAGCUCUGUUGAAAGGGAAGAACGGGUGUUAGAGUUGAAAGUUCACACUGUGACGGUAUCUUACCAGAAAGGGACGGCUAACUACGUG